This is a long non-coding RNA of Nicotiana tabacum (common tobacco), 1094 nucleotides long. RefSeq lists it as uncharacterized. The record is from RefSeq and is a predicted model, not a curated record. NCBI's taxonomy places the organism in Eukaryota, Viridiplantae, Streptophyta, Magnoliopsida, Solanales, Solanaceae.
GUGGUCCUUCUACACAUUUGUUUCAUUAUCUCAAUUCUCCCUUCUUACUUCACCAUUCUCUCCAUUUCCCUCUCUCUUUUUUACUGUGUUUUGUUCAACAACUCCUUCUUCCUCUUUCUCGACGACAACAUACCCAGCCUAGUUCUAUAAAUAGGGUCUCGAGAUGGUGAUGUGUAUGCGGACCUAAUUAUCCCUACCUUAUCUCUAUCUUGUGAAGGUGAAAAAGUUGUUUACGAUAGCGCUCCGCUCAAUUCUGAUGAAGUCCUAGUCAUGCUUUUCCACAGCUUUCUUGAACUUCUUCUAGCUGAAUUUUGAUCUCUCUUUAGGCAAUUGUGGAUAGUUUUAAUUUGAGAGAUGAGAUUUAAAGCUCUGAAAGUCCAAGAAAGCUGUGGGAAAAUAUGGCAAUCUUAGGACUUUUUUUUACCAUUUGGAGUUCAAGAGAUCUGCAUUUUUAAGUAACAUAUUCUUCCAUGGAGCUGAGGUCCAAAAUACGGAAGAAACAAUCAUUUUCAUGACUUUACCACCGAGUCAUUUUCUAAUUAUGUUCUAUAUAGAGGACAUAUAGUACACACAUCAUUUAGCUUCUCUUCGAACCAUAGUAUCUGUUUUUCUCAUAAUUAAAUUAAAGAGGGAAUUGAAGAUGCUUAAAGUAAUUUGGUGGUUCAUAUCUUUAUUGCAACGGCUAAUAUUUGAGGAUUUUAGUAUGUAUAUAUUCAAAACCAUGUCAGUGUUGUAAUUAGGAUAUUACUAGAGAAAUCAUUUCUGGCAAACUAGCAGGAUAUAAGUGAGUUGCAAAAUGCUGGCACCAUAAAAGUUUUCUGAUUUUUUCUUGAAUUAUUGUUGCAGUUAUAUAACACAGUUACGUGUAGUUAAUUACAUGCAGAGAACCAGACCUAGCUAUUAAUCUAAAGGAUAAUAUAAAUGGAGAUCAGAUCCAGCUUAUUAUCUCAUGAAGCUACAUGUGUACAUAUACAGAGUUUGAAUGAAAAAGUGAGGUGUAAAAUCUAUAUUAAAUUCUAAUAUAUGUUGCGCGCGCAUGCAAACAUAUACAUAUACUGUACUGGAUUCUGCCGAACUCGCAAAGUAUUAUUCGA